This 431-nucleotide ribosomal RNA is filed under the name uncultured bacterium. RNAcentral's name for it is "partial 16S ribosomal RNA". It matches the Rfam family "Bacterial small subunit ribosomal RNA", at positions 29 to 507 of the family's 1533-position model. The record is from RNAcentral.
AACGAACGCUGGCGGCAGGCUUAACACAUGCAAGUCGAACGCCCCGCCAGGGGAGUGGCCGACGGGUGAGUAACGCGUGGGAAUCUACCCAUCCCUACGGAAUAACGCAUGGAAACGUGUGCUAAUACCGUAUACGCCCUACGGGGGAAAGAUUUAUCGGGGAUGGAUGAGCCCGCGUUGGAUUAGCUAGUUGGUGGGGUAAAGGCCUACCAAGGCGACGAUCCAUAGCUGGUCUGAGAGGAUGAUCAGCCACAUUGGGACUGAGACACGGCCCAAACUCCUACGGGAGGCAGCAGUGGGGAAUAUUGGACAAUGGGCGCAAGCCUGAUCCAGCCAUGCCGCGUGAGUGAUGAAGGCCUUAGGGUUGUAAAGCUCUUUCACCGGAGAAGAUAAUGACGGUAUCCGGAGAAGAAGCCCCGGCUAACUUCGUG